Molecule: long non-coding RNA, 3903 nt
Organism: Struthio camelus australis
Lineage: Eukaryota; Metazoa; Chordata; Aves; Struthioniformes; Struthionidae
Source: Ensembl
AUGAUUGCCUACUCUGGAUUCAGGCAGAAAUGCAAAUAUCAUGUUUACCUGGAACAUAAGAAUAAGCCUCUCUCCUCAGCCCUGGGGAGGCCUCACCUGGAGUACUGUGUCCAGUUCUGGGCUCCCCAGUACAAGAGAGACAUGGCACUCCUGGAGAGAGUCCAGCGGAGGGCUACCAAGAUGAUUAGAGGGCUGGAGCACCUCUCCUAUGAAGAAAGACUGCGAGAGCUGGGCCUGUUCAGCCUGGAGAAGAGAAGACUGAGAGGGGAUCUCAUCAACGUGUACAAGUAUCUGAAGGGGGAGUGUCAAGAGGAUGAGGCCAGCCUCCUCUCUGUGGUGCCCAGCAACAGGACAAGAGGCAACGGGCAGAAACUGAACCACAGGAAGUUCCAUCUGAACCUGAGAAAAAACUUCUUUCCUGUGAGGGUGACAGAGCACUGGAAGAGGUUGCCCAGAGAGGUGGUGGAGUCUCCUUCCCUGGAGAUAUUCAAAACCCACCUGGACGCGAUCCUGGGCAACGUGCUCUAGAUGACCCUGCUUGAGCAGGGGGGGGUUGGACUAGAUGAUCUCCAGAGGUCCCUUCCAACCUAAACCAUUCUGUGAUUCUGUAAUUGUUUCAAUGGAUCACAGCGCUUGCUUCCUCCAAGAGUAUCCCUGGCAAAAUGUACUCUGCCCCUCCUGAGACAUCACUGCUGGCUACAGUAAGUGAGAAGAUGUUGGAAAAAUCAUCCAAGGGAAGUUUCUUUCUAACUGUCUUGUGUUGAUUUAACUCCAUGAUAACUUAUACCUAGCAGGACAUAUACAUAACUGUAUUCACUUCUUAUAAUACUUUCUUUAAAAAACUUUUGAUCAUUUAUUUUUAGUUUACUACUGACAACAUGUGACCAUUAGAGUUUGAUUCCAAUAACCUUUUGAAACUGUUUCCUGCUUUCUGUCACUUGAUUAUAAUCUGCCUAAAUAUAUUCUUCAUACUAAGUCUCAGGAUUUAAAUUUUUUUCAUAUCUGAUUUUAAUACCUAUAUAACCACAUUCCUUCUUUUUAUCAAGAUACCGCUUCUGAAUCAGUGCCAUGGAAUAGUUUUCAGUAGAAGCCUUCCAUUAGAGAUGUUGGAAUUCAUUGAAUUUGAUCAUUAUUACUUCAUGGCAAAACUAUAGUUAUUUCUUGACCCAAGUAACUGUCUUGCUUAGGCUUAAGUCAAGAACAGCCUUUUCUUUUGCAGGCUGCAGAACUAGCCCUUCAAAAACCCAUCAUUUGAAUUGUUGAGAAAUUGCCUUUCAGCAAUUUGUCCUGAAAUAACAUUUUGCCAAUCCAUGUGCAACUAGUUGGAGCAGUAUACUGCUGCUUUUUAAAAAACUGUUAGACUUAGUUGCUUUUUUGCUUUUCCUUCACACUCCAUAUUCUAUAUGGUAUUUACAUUACAUAACAUAGGCAAUGAAUUGAGAUAUGUGAACUAAAAGCCUAGGCUUCUUGUAUAGUCAAUGGAAAGAGGUAAAUUGUGUUAGAGGGCCUUAAGAGCACAUAAUUUAGAAACCUGCCCACCUUGUUAAUUACAUAGAGGGCUUGGACACAGACACUUCUGUUAAAUGCCCAAGAUAGAUGGCGAAGAUGUCUGAACAUCCCCAAAGCCCUUCUUUUUUUUUUUUUUUCUUUUUAAUCAGGCUGAUUUUAAAAAGGAAGAAAAAUAAGAAAUUCUGUUAAAAUAAUUUCACUUGACCUGCAAUUUAGGUGUGUGGAGAUUCUCUCUCUAGUUCUUGCCCCUCAGAAAUUUUCUCCCACUAAAAUGGAAUUUCCAAGAGAAUUACUAUUUCCCAUCUCAGUGGUAUGUAAUUUCUAGAUAGAUUAUAACCUAAGUAUCCCACUUUCUAUUUCAGUCAAUUUCAGAGAGGCUGAAUAUGUCAUGCUCUCCUUCCAUUGGUUAGGCAUUCUAGUUUGCCUUUGUUUGCCUUUAGCUUUUUAGUACCUAUCUGAAAUGUAAAUGGAUUUGCUUUGCUAGCAUCCCUAGCCAAUGCCUAUCUUUGGCCUGACUGCUCCUGUGCUGCUUGUGGCUUUCCUCCUAAAAACAAACACCAAUUAUUCAGGCCUCUGCCAUGUUCCCUUGUUGGCAGUCCACAUAAUUCUAUUUUGCAUAUGUGCAGCUGAUGCUUUUAUAAAAGCUCUCUAUACUCUCUAAAGUGUUUGAUGCGCUGCAGGACAACAAAAGCUCCCUGAAGGGAGCUGAAAAGCUCCCUUUAAACCCUAUAUACACGUGUCUGCAUAGUAGUCUUUGAGAGGAAAACUGGAAUUAUUUUAAAGAAAGCACAGCGGUCCUGGGCCAAAAGCUUUUUCCUAACUCAUCUAAAUUUAGUUUCCGUGACCUCUCAAACACUUCUUUGUGCUCUUGGUGUCAGGACCACAAGCAUCUCCCUACCACUAACUACCAUUUUCUCUAAAUGUAUCAUGUGAACUGUCAUCUUCACAGCUGGUCACCAAGCUGCUGAACAGCUCUCAUGGUUGCUGCACACACAGGUAUAGUAUUUCGAUGACCAGAUCUCCUACCGUUACAGCUUGUUGACAUCUCACAGUCGUAUGCCUGUCUCCUAGAGGGACCGCUUAGAUAUGUAAUUGCUCUUCUCUGCAAUGUUCGGUCUCUCAGUGUUUCACUAUCCCCAAAUCUCCUUUCAUCUUAAAAAGAUUUAUCCCUUCUUUAUUAUUUCAGAACAACUUGUUAUAUUUAUUCCACUUUACUCCCAUCUGCUGGUCAAACAAAGCCGGCACAUAUAAACCACUAACUGCAGAUGAGUGACUUGCAGAGAAAAGCAACUACUUCCUGCUUUUUUAAGAUGAGUAGCCAAACUACUUGAUGGAUCAACUGAGAUGACUUGAUUUAAAGAAAAAAAAAAAAGGAAGAGGAAGGAGAAAGUACUUUUAAAGAUAUGGUUGAACAUACAUUCACUUUUACACGGCUUAAAUUUUGCUGUACACUCUUAUUUCUCAAAUUAAUCAGCACCUCUUAUGCUUAGAAAAAAAUAGCUUGCACUGAAAAAGUUGCUGCUUAUAGUUCUAAAAAUUUAGUAACUAAACAAUUAGCCUCUUCUUCUGCCCUCCUUAAUUUCCUAUUUUCAUUUUGGGCAUGUUUUAAUAAUUUCCUGAUGUGCAGCAUUAAUUAAUGUUGCUUUUUGCUGAGUCUCACCUAGAAAUACUUCAAAAGGGUACAUCUUCAUCAUUCUUCUUUUAAAAUAAGAAAAAUGUCUGGACACUUGCUUGAAGUAUCUCAUUGAUACUAGCAUUUUACUUUGCUUCCAAGAACAAGGCAAAGCACUGUAGGGACCAAUUAGAAACUGCUGAGAAAUCCUGUCAAAAUGAAGGGCUGACAGCUGAAAAUCCUAAAUCUGAUGGACUGCCUCGCAGGUGGCAUGGAAGAUGGCUCUACCCCUAAGCAACCUUUAGUCUCCAAAAGAGAAAGGAAAGGUCUUUCUCUUUCAGUCAGCUGUAUCAGUCUGUCCAUAUCCAACAGUCCCCUUUUCUUUUCUGCCCUCUAGUGACCAACCACGCAGGUUUCAAAAGAAACUAUUUGGGUACACUCUUUAAAAAUACAUUCAUGUAUUAUUCAGCCAAGUCAUGCCACUAAUUUAAAUAUGCUACGUAGAAGAGGCUAUUGGUAUAUCACGAUUUACACUAAAAAAAUGGCAGUCAAAUGUUUCUGAGCUGUUGGCAGGCAAGCUUCUUGGGCGGUGCUAAUAAUAGAUGGGUUAUAACCCCUGCUUCCUCUGGAAAAGUCCUCACCAGAAGGGUGGGCAUAUAUUUCAGCUACAGUGUUCUAAAUUUACAGUUUUCUAAAAAAAAAAAAAAAAAAAGAAAGAAUGAAAUUUGCAUAUUAUUUUCUCAUAAAAUAAAUAAAAAUAUAAACAAAAUAAAAACUAGAUU